UACAGCCGAGAAAAAAGAAAGAAAAUCAGCCCUCGCACGACCCUGCCUCCCAAUCCCCGUCUCCACCUCCUGCCUCGCGCGCCGUCGUGCGCCGACACCGCCCACCACGCCGGCACGCCUACCCCUGCACGACCGGCUACACGCUGAUGACGCUCGAGUGCACCUUCUUGAUCAAGGCAACGCGACGGCUCGAGCGGUUGGGGGCAGCACGGCGGCUCGAUGCGGAAUGGCGGCGGUGGCGGCUGGAGCUUGCAGGGGUUGGGGAGGCUGAUUCGAAGGCGGACGGCGAGGCGGGGGAACGGUGAGGAAGGCCGGAGCGAGGGAUCCGGCGACCUAGGCAGGAGCUCGCCGGAGCCGGGCGCGCAAGGCAGAGGGAUCCGAUGCGGCGGUUCGAAGUUCUUGCAGGCAAAGGCAGACCUCCAUGGCUGGCAGGGGGGCUCCAAGGCCAUGGCGGGGCUUCGGUUUUCCCUGGUAUAGAAAAGAGAAAUAGAAGAGGAUUCAGGGAAAAGAAGAACGGGGAUUCAGGGAGAAUAAGAACGGUGGAAGAAGGAUGGCUGGCCUCCUCGGCGCAUGCCAUAUGAUCUAAAGGUUCAUAUCAGACAAGGCAACCACAAUAGUACGGCCAUGAUAAUCUCAUGGGUGACAACAGUCAGAACCUGGAUCGAGCACUGUGUUUUACGGGACUUCAGAAGAUAAUCUCAAUUGUUCUGCAAAGGGAAAGCAUUCACGGUAUACGUUCUACAAAUAUACCUCGGGAUACAUUCGUCAUUGUACAAUCAAGAACCUGAAGUUUGACACAAAGUAUUACUAAGCCGUUGGAACUGAAGAGAAGCUGAAAAGAUUUGGUUUAGGACCCCUCCGAAAAGUGGCCCAGAUGUUCCAUAUACAUUUGGUUUGAUAGGUGAUCUCGGUCAGAGCUUCGACUCCAAUGUCACGCUCGCUCAUUAUGAGUCCAAAUAGUAUGAUGUAAUCCUCUAAGCAUGGUUGACAUACUUGCUUUGUCAUAUUUACUAUCAUAAAUUUCUUUCAAUGGGAUCUCUGGAAAUACUGUUUUCUAUGUGUUUCCAUUGGUGACUGAAUAAUUUGUCACUCUUUCAAUGGGAUAUAUUUGUUGCUAAUGGUCAUUUAUAAAGAUUUAUAAAGCAUCCAUCUGUGAAUGAA
Molecule: long non-coding RNA, 1161 nt
Organism: Triticum aestivum (bread wheat)
Lineage: Eukaryota; Viridiplantae; Streptophyta; Magnoliopsida; Poales; Poaceae
Exons: 4
Source: RefSeq, a predicted model, not a curated record